UCUCCUGCCUCCGCGCACCGGUCGGGAUGUGCUGUGCGCGUGGUUCAGGGAUGGCGAGUGUUUGUGGGCGCGCUGGGCCUCCGACGGCCAGGACGCCGGGCAGCGACUCGCGCCGUCCGAGCCUGGGGACGCGCCCGCGGCGGCCCUGCUGGCCCGAGGUUCUGGGCCCUGAACACGUUGGGGACAGUGGCCGGGUCUGGCCGCGGCCACGUUGUCCGGGGAACCUCAGCGGGCCCCGGAGCGGCCCCCAGUCUGCGCUCCUGCAUCCCCACGCCGGGAAGUAGGGAGAUGGGUUUGAAUGCGUUUAAGUUUGUUGGUCACCCCCUGUAUGCCGGGGAGUUUUUAAUAGAAGCGAGGAUUUCGCUCGUGUGCAGGGGAAAGGCCUCACCGUCCGACUGCCUGCGUGCCCGCCCUGCCGCGGUGUGACGUCCGUCGGCGCACAAGGAAAGUGCCUUUCAGGUUUAGAUCUUGACAACCGUUUCGAGGCGCAGAACUUGGCAGAAAUCGAAUGAGUAUCACCAACUUUGCAGGUGAAAGAUGGCUGCUGGAAGCAUAGACUGCUACUUGCCGAGUAGUGUCUGGGAGCACAACGGUGACUGACCUAAGGAUGUCUUCGGUGAGGAAUUUGAAAAUUUGAUCUUCACAGGAGUUGCUUGGAUCAUUUAAAGUUUCCAGGAGCCUGAGGUGUAUUGAAAUUAUUGCCCUUGGACAGUCCAUAAAUACACAUUUUAAAUGGUGGGGCUAUGAAUAAAUAAUUUAAUGUG
This is a long non-coding RNA of Equus quagga, 764 nucleotides long. RefSeq lists it as uncharacterized. Lineage: Eukaryota; Metazoa; Chordata; Mammalia; Perissodactyla; Equidae. The transcript is spliced from 3 exons. The record is from RefSeq and is a predicted model, not a curated record.